GCUCCCUCCGCGCCAUCAGACUCCUACGAGAGGCAGCAGUGGGAAAUAUUGCGCAAUGGGCGAAAGCCUGACGCAGCAACGCCGCGUGAGGGAUGAAGGCCUUCGGGUUGUAAACCUCUUUCGAGCAGGGACGAUAAUGACGGUACCUGCAGAAGAAGCUCCGGCCAACUACGUGCCAGCAGCCGCGGUAAUAC
This 194-nucleotide ribosomal RNA is filed under the name uncultured bacterium. RNAcentral describes it as "partial 16S ribosomal RNA". It matches the Rfam family "Bacterial small subunit ribosomal RNA", at positions 308 to 526 of the family's 1533-position model. The record is from RNAcentral.